Molecule: ribosomal RNA, 497 nt
Filed under: uncultured bacterium
Lineage: Bacteria
Description: partial 16S ribosomal RNA
Rfam family: Bacterial small subunit ribosomal RNA
Source: RNAcentral
GAUGAACGCUGGCGGCGUGCCUAAUACAUGCCAGUCGAGCGAACAGACGAGGAGCUUGCUCCUCUGACGUUAGCGGCGGACGGGUGAGUAACACGUGGAUAACCUACCUAUAAGACUGGGAUGACUUCGGGAAACCGGAGCUAAUACCGGAUAAUAUAUUGAACCGCAUGGUUCAAUAGUGAAAGACGGUUUUGCUGUCACUUAUAGAUGGAUCCGCGCCGCAUUAGCUAGUUGGUAAGGUAACGGCUUACCAAGGCAACGAUGCGUAGCCGACCUGAGAGGGUGAUCGGCCACACUGGAACUGAGACACGGUCCAGACUCCUACGGGAGGCAGCAGUAGGGAAUCUUCCGCAAUGGGCGAAAGCCUGACGGAGCAACGCCGCGUGAGUGAUGAAGGUCUUCGGAUCGUAAAACUCUGUUAUUAGGGAAGAACAAAUGUGUAAGUAACUAUGCACGUCUUGACGGUACCUAAUCAGAAAGCCACGGCUAACUACGUG